RNAcentral lists this ribosomal RNA (467 nucleotides) under uncultured bacterium. Its description in RNAcentral is "partial 16S ribosomal RNA". It matches the Rfam family "Bacterial small subunit ribosomal RNA", at positions 28 to 523 of the family's 1533-position model. The record is from RNAcentral.
GAUGAAUGCUGGCGGCGUGCCUAACACAUGCAAGUCGAGCGGCAGCGCAGGUAGUUUACUACCUGGCGGCGAGCGGCGGACGGCUGAGUAACGCGUGGGAACAUGCCCCAAAGUGAGGAAUAACUGCCCGAAAGGGUAGCUAAUGCCGCAUAUGGUCUUCGGAUUAAAGGAUUUAUCCGCUUUGGGAGUGGCCUGCGUACGAUUAGAUAGUUGGUGAGGUAAUGGCUCACCAAGUCGACGAUCGUUAACUGGUCUGAGAGGAUGAUCAGUCAGACUGGAACUGAGACACGGACCAGACUCCUACGGGAGGCAGCAGUGAGGAAUCUUCCACAAUGGGCGAAAGCCUGAUGGAGCAACGCCGCGUGCAGGAUGAAGGCCUUCGGGUCGUAAACUGCUUUUAUGAGUGAAGAAUAUGACUGUAACUCAUGAAUAAGCACCGGCUAACUACGUGCCAGCCGCCGCGGUAA